Molecule: non-coding RNA, 125 nt
Organism: Triticum aestivum (bread wheat)
Lineage: Eukaryota; Viridiplantae; Streptophyta; Magnoliopsida; Poales; Poaceae
Source: Rfam
GAAAUACUCCCUCCGUCCCGAAAUUCUUGUCUUAGAUUUGUCUAAAUAUGGAUGUAUCAUGGUAUUAGAUACAUCCGUAUCUAUACUAAUCUAAGACAAGAAUUUCUGGACGGAGGGAGUAUAAG